This 71-nucleotide transfer RNA is filed under the name Cordylochernes scorpioides. RNAcentral's name for it is "tRNA-Gly". It matches the Rfam family "tRNA". Rfam says of the family: Transfer RNA (tRNA) molecules are approximately 80 nucleotides in length. Their secondary structure includes four short double-helical elements and three loops (D, anti-codon, and T loops). Lineage: Eukaryota; Metazoa; Arthropoda; Arachnida; Pseudoscorpiones; Chernetidae. The record is from RNAcentral.
GCAUCGAUGGUUCAGUGGUAAAAUGCUUGCCUGCCACGCAGGCGUCCCGGGUUCGAUUCCCGGCCGAUGCA